This 557-nucleotide ribosomal RNA is filed under the name uncultured bacterium. RNAcentral's name for it is "bacterial SSU rRNA". It matches the Rfam family "Bacterial small subunit ribosomal RNA", at positions 364 to 917 of the family's 1533-position model. The record is from RNAcentral.
UUGNANUGGGCGCAGCCUGAUCCAGCAAUGCCGCGUGAGUGAAGAAGGCCUUCGGGUUGUAAAGCUCUUUUGUCAGGGAAGAAACGGUUGGGGCUAAUAUCCCCGGCUAAUGACGGUACCUGAAGAAUAAGCACCGGCUAACUACGUGCCAGCAGCCGCGGUAAUACGUAGGGUGCAAGCGUUAAUCGGAAUUACUGGGCGUAAAGCGUGCGCAGGCGGUUUUGUAAGUCUGUCGUGAAAUCCCCGGGCUCAACCUGGGAAUUGCGAUGGAGACUGCAAGGCUAGAAUCUGGCAGAGGGGGGUAGAAUUCCACGUGUAGCAGUGAAAUGCGUAGAGAUGUGGAGGAACACCGAUGGCGAAGGCAGCCCCCUGGGUCAAGAUUGACGCUCAUGCACGAAAGCGUGGGGAGCAAACAGGAUUAGAUACCCUGGUAGUCCACGCCCUAAACGAUGUCUACUAGUUGUCGGGUUUUAAUUAACUUGGUAACGCAGCUAACGCGUGAAGUAGACCGCCUGGGGAGUACGGUCGCAAGAUUAAAACUCAAAGGAAUUGACGGA